GCGGCGAACGGGUGAGUAACACGUGAGCAACCUGCCCCUGACUCUGGGAUAAGCGGUGGAAACGCCGUCUAAUACCGGAUACGACCCGCCACCUCAUGGUGGAGGGUGGAAAGUUUUUCGGUCAGGGAUGGGCUCGCGGCCUAUCAGCUUGUUGGUGGGGUAACGGCCUACCAAGGCGAUUACGGGUAGCCGGCCUGAGAGGGCGACCGGCCACACUGGGACUGAGACACGG
Molecule: ribosomal RNA, 232 nt
Filed under: bacterium
Lineage: Bacteria
Description: partial 16S ribosomal RNA
Rfam family: Bacterial small subunit ribosomal RNA
Source: RNAcentral